ACGCACGCUGGCGGCGUGCUUAACCCAUGCAAGUCGAACGGAAAGGCCCUGCUUGCAGGGUACUCGAGUGGCGAACGGGUGAGUAACACGUGGGUGAUCUGCCCUGCACUUCGGGAUAAGCCUGGGAAACUGGGUCUAAUACCGGAUAGGAGCCAUUUUUAGUGUGAUGGUUGGAAAGUUUUUUCGGUGUAGGAUGAGCUCGCGGCCUAUCAGCUUGUUGGUGGGGUAAUGGCCUACCAAGGCGGCGACGGGUAGCCGGCCUGAGAGGGUGGACGGCCACAUUGGGACUGAGAUACGGCCCAGACUCCUACGGGAGGCAGCAGUGGGGAAUAUUGCACAAUGGGCGCAAGCCGGAUGCAGCGACGCCGCGUGGGGGAUGACGGCCUUCGGGUUGUAAACUCCUUUCGCUAGGGACGAAGCUUUUUGUGACGGUACCUAGAUAAGAAGCACCGGCUAACUACGUG
Molecule: ribosomal RNA, 464 nt
Filed under: uncultured bacterium
Lineage: Bacteria
Description: partial 16S ribosomal RNA
Rfam family: Bacterial small subunit ribosomal RNA
Source: RNAcentral